Molecule: unclassified non-coding RNA, 1291 nt
Filed under: Leishmania donovani
Lineage: Eukaryota; Euglenozoa; Kinetoplastea; Trypanosomatida; Trypanosomatidae
Description: gene:LdHU3.07.1120(CDS-product:cytochrome_b5-like _protein)
Source: RNAcentral
AGGGCAAGCGAUGAGAGGCGCGGAUCUCUCUUUGUUUCAAUCCUUUUCUCCCUCCUCCGAUGACGUAUAGUUCUAUAUGUAUAUUGUAUCGUCUAUAUGUUUUUUUUUUUUUCCAUUUCCUCGUGGUUCCUCGGUAUCCUUCAUUCAACUGCGUCACCUGCAGACGAUUGUAUUGCUGCUGAUGCUGCCUCUUUUUCUUGCAUCUCUGGUAAGCCUUGCUUGCACAAGUGCGAGAGUGGUGCCGGCGGCACCAUCGCCCAUUGAAUACGCGAGCACCACAACAGCACCGCAUGCUGCGCUCAGCUCUGAGACCUUUCAAAUGAUUCUGCUAGCUGCUAGUGUGACGGCCCUAAUCUAGUGGCAGCCUCACGUCCUCACGGCACUCCCACCGACCACCGAGGAACUAGUGAAGAGCAUGGCCGUCGUUGCCGAUUCGAGGGCGGAGCGCUUGCCAUGCGCCGAUGUGGCGAAGCACAACACGAAGGCGAACCACUGACUUGCGAUGCACAACCUCGUGCUGGAUGUACCGAGGCACAUGCCGCUCCGCCCCAGCGGCAAGCGCAUCAUCUUUGACUACGCCGGCGAGGACUCGGUGAGGGGGUUCUACGUGGCUCACGGCUUGAAUGAAAUGGAGGCUUGCGCCCCAAGUCGAUUAUUCGCGUACUGUCGCACUAGAGGAGGCGGCGGCGGCGGCGGCGGCGGCGACCUCAUAGGAAUUCUCACGCACACAUAAACUACAAAUCCAUCAUGCUGAUACCUUGCCCACUUGGUGCUUGCUAUGAGUCUCUCUCCGGUGAAGCGCCGCCACCCGCGCACGCAAAGCCAUCAAGCAGCAGACGUAGCAACAUGCAUACAGACAGCUACGGACCCUCCUCCCCUCCCCCUUCGCCUUGUCUUAAAUAGCAGCUCGUGUCUCUCAUGGCUUUUUAUUUGUGUCGUUAGUUCGGCUUCUGUGCGUGUGUCUCUGUGCUUGCGCGAUUAACUACCGUCAUCGCGCCAACGUUUCUGCGCGCGCUUGCAUAUAUGCAUGUGUGCGGGAUGAGCUCUUCAACUGUGGUGUGCAUCCCAACGAACGGUGUGGGCAAUGUGUGUGGGAGGGGGGGGGGCACGAAAAUACUCACAGAAGCGAACAAUACAGAAAAGAGUGGGAGAGUGCCACGCAGUUUGCUCCCUCCUCUCUCCGCUCUCCUUUUUCCUGCUUCUCUUCUCUCAUUACCAACUCUCUUGUUCAUUUUACUCUGCGGAAAAGAGUAAGCAAGAGCCCUUUCCCCUCCCUCCCUCCCUCCCUCAC